CCAGGGGCUCACGCGCCCUGGCUAAUAACGGUCGUCCCUUUGGGACU
This 47-nucleotide small RNA is filed under the name Pedosphaera parvula Ellin514. Its description in RNAcentral is "Acido-Lenti-1 RNA". It matches the Rfam family "Acido-Lenti-1 RNA". Lineage: Bacteria; Pseudomonadati; Verrucomicrobiota; Pedosphaerae; Pedosphaerales; Pedosphaeraceae. The record is from Rfam by way of RNAcentral.